Molecule: ribosomal RNA, 253 nt
Filed under: uncultured bacterium
Lineage: Bacteria
Description: partial 16S ribosomal RNA
Rfam family: Bacterial small subunit ribosomal RNA
Source: RNAcentral
UACGUAGGGUGCGAGCGUUAAUCGGAAUUACUGGGCUUAAAGGGUGCGUAGGCGGCGUGGUAAGUUGGGUGUUAAAUCCCUCGGCUCAACCGAGGAACUGCGCCCAAAACUACCAUGCUUGAGGAAGAUAGAGGUAAGCGGAACUUACGGUGGAGCGGUGAAAUGCGUUGAUAUCGUAAGGAACACCUGUGGCGAAAGCGGCUUACUGGGUCUUUUCUGACGCUGAUGCACGAAAGCGAGGGGAGCAAACGGG